RNAcentral lists this ribosomal RNA (444 nucleotides) under uncultured bacterium. RNAcentral's name for it is "bacterial SSU rRNA". The record is from RNAcentral.
CAUGCAAGUCGAACGGUAAGGCCCCAGCUUGCUGGGGUACACGAGUGGCGAACGGGUGAGUAACACGUGGGUGACCUGCCCCGCACUUCGGGAUAAGCCUGGGAAACUGGGUCUAAUACCGGAUAGGACCGCAUCGUGAGGAUGUGGUGGAAAGUUUUUUCGGUGUGGGAUGGGCCCGCGGCCUAUCAGCUUGUUGGUGGGGUAAUGGCCUACCAAGGCGGCSACGGGUAGCCGGCCUGAGAGGGUGGACGGCCACAUUGGGACUGAGACACGGCCCAGACUCCUACGGGAGGCAGCAGUGGGGAAUAUUGCACAAUGGGCGGAAGCCUGAUGCAGCGACGCCGCGUGGGGGAUGACGGCCUUCGGGUUGUAAACUCCUUUCACCAUCGACGAAGGUUUUCUGACGGUAGAUGGAGAAGAAGCACCGGCUAACUACGUGCCAGC